GAUGAACGCUGGCGGCGUGCUUAACACAUGCAAGUCGAACGAAGCACUUUAUUUGAUUUCCUUCGGGACUGAUUAUUUUGUGACUGAGUGGCGGACGGGUGAGUAACGCGUGGGUAACCUGCCUUGUACAGGGGGAUAACAGUUGGAAACGGCUGCUAAUACCGCAUAAGCGCACAGCAUCGCAUGAUGCAGUGUGAAAAACUCCGGUGGUAUAAGAUGGACCCGCGUUGGAUUAGCUAGUUGGUGAGGUAACGGCCCACCAAGGCGACGAUCCAUAGCCGACCUGAGAGGGUGACCGGCCACAUUGGGACUGAGACACGGCCCAAACUCCUACGGGAGGCAGCAGUGGGGAAUAUUGCACAAUGGGCGAAAGCCUGAUGCAGCGACGCCGCGUGAGCGAAGAAGUAUUUCGGUAUGUAAAGCUCUAUCAGCAGGGAAGAUAAUGACGGU
Molecule: ribosomal RNA, 450 nt
Filed under: uncultured bacterium
Lineage: Bacteria
Description: bacterial SSU rRNA
Rfam family: Bacterial small subunit ribosomal RNA
Source: RNAcentral